AGACCCGAAACCCGGUGAUCUAGCCAUGGGCAGGUUGAAGGUUGGGUAACACUAACUGGAGGACCGAACCGACUAAUGUUGAAAAAUUAGCGGAUGACCUGUGGCUGGGGGUGAAAGGCCAAUCAAACCGGGAGAUAGCUGGUUCUCCCCGAAAGCUAUUUAGGUAGCGCCUCGUGAAUUCAUCUCCGGGGGUAGAGCACUGUUUCGGCUAGGGGGCCAUCCCGGCUUACCAACCCGAUGCAAACUGCGAAUACCGGAGAAUGUUAUCACGGGAGACACACGGCGGGUGCUAACGUCCGUCGUGAAGAGGGAAACAACCCAGACCGCCAGCUAAGGUCCCAAAGUCAUGGUUAAGUGGGAAACGAUGUGGGAAGGCCCAGACAGCCAGGAUGUUGGCUUAGAAGCAGCCAUCAUUUAAAGAAAGCGUAAUAGCUCACUGGUCGAGUCGGCCUGCGCGGAAGAUGUAACGGGGCUAAACCAUGCACCGAAGCUGCGGCAGCGAACGUAUCACCCAAGACAACUUUACGGAGUUGACGAUUGACGGAGCGAAGCGACGUCAAAGCGUUCAUUAAAGUCGAGUUGGCUUAGGGAUACGUUCGUUGGGUAGGGGAGCGUUCUGUAAGCCUGUGAAGGUGUGUCGUGAGGCAUGCUGGAGGUAUCAGAAGUGCGAAUGCUGACAUAAGUAACGAUAAAGCGGGUGAAAAGCCCGCUCGCCGGAAGACCAAGGGUUCCUGUCCAACGUUAAUCGGGGCAGGGUGAGUCGACCCCUAAGGCGAGGCCGAAAGGCGUAGUCGAUGGGAAACGGGUUAAUAUUCCCGUACUUGGUGUUACUGCGAAGGGGGGACGGAGAAGGCUAUGUUGGCCGGGCGACGGUUGUCCCGGUUUAAGCGUGUAGGUGUGUGUUCCAGGUAAAUCCGGUUCACUUUAACACUGAGGCGUGACGACGAGGCACUACGGUGCUGAAGCAACAAAUGCCCUGCUUCCAGGAAAAGCCUCUAAGCAUCAGGUAACAUCAAAUCGUACCCCAAACCGACACAGGUGGUCAGGUAGAGAAUACCAAGGCGCUUGAGAGAACUCGGGUGAAGGAACUAGGCAAAAUGGUGCCGUAACUUCGGGAGAAGGCACGCUGACACGUAGGUGAAGUGAUUUACUCAUGGAGCUGAAGUCAGUCGAAGAUACCAGCUGGCUGCAACUGUUUAUUAAAAACACAGCACUGUGCAAACACGAAAGUGGACGUAUACGGUGUGACGCCUGCCCGGUGCCGGAAGGUUAAUUGAUGGGGUCAGCGUAAGCGAAGCUCCUGAUCGAAGCCCCGGUAAACGGCGGCCGUAACUAUAACGGUCCUAAGGUAGCGAAAUUCCUUGUCGGGUAAGUUCCGACCUGCACGAAUGGCGUAAUGAUGGCCAGGCUGUCUCCACCCGAGACUCAGUGAAAUUGAACUCGCUGUGAAGAUGCAGUGUACCCGCGGCAAGACGGAAAGACCCCGUGAACCUUUACUAUAGCUUGACACUGAACAUUGAGCCUUGAUGUGUAGGAUAGGUGGGAGGCUUUGAAGUGUGGACGCCAGUCUGCAUGGAGCCGACCUUGAAAUACCACCCUUUAAUGUUUGAUGUUCUAACGUGGACCCGUAAUCCGGGUUGCGGACAGUGUCUGGUGGGUAGUUUGACUGGGGCGGUCUCCUCCUAAAGAGUAACGGAGGAGCACGAAGGUUGGCUAAUCCUGGUCGGACAUCAGGAGGUUAGUGCAAUGGCAUAAGCCAGCUUGACUGCGAGCGUGACGGCGCGAGCAGGUGCGAAAGCAGGUCAUAGUGAUCCGGUGGUUCUGAAUGGAAGGGCCAUCGCUCAACGGAUAAAAGGUACUCCGGGGAUAACAGGCUGAUACCGCCCAAGAGUUCAUAUCGACGGCGGUGUUUGGCACCUCGAUGUCGGCUCAUCACAUCCUGGGGCUGAAGUAGGUCCCAAGGGUAUGGCUGUUCGCCAUUUAAAGUGGUACGCGAGCUGGGUUUAGAACGUCGUGAGACAGUUCGGUCCCUAUCUGCCGUGGGCGCUGGAGAACUGAGGGGGGCUGCUCCUAGUACGAGAGGACCGGAGUGGACGCAUCACUGGUGUUCGGGUUGUCAUGCCAAUGGCACUGCCCGGUAGCUAAAUGCGGAAGAGAUAAGUGCUGAAAGCAUCUAA
RNAcentral lists this ribosomal RNA (2177 nucleotides) under Salmonella enterica subsp. enterica serovar Typhimurium. RNAcentral describes it as "partial 23S ribosomal RNA". It matches the Rfam family "Bacterial large subunit ribosomal RNA", at positions 711 to 2784 of the family's 2925-position model. Lineage: Bacteria; Pseudomonadati; Pseudomonadota; Gammaproteobacteria; Enterobacterales; Enterobacteriaceae. The record is from RNAcentral.